AGCGAACGCUGGCGGCAGGCUUAACACAUGCAAGUCGAACGCCCCGCAAGGGGAGUGGCAGACGGGUGAGUAACACGUGGGAACGUACCCUUUGGUUCGGAAUAACUUGGGGAAACUCAAGCUAAUACCGGAUAAGCCCUUAUGGGGAAAGGUUUACUGCCGAAGGAUCGGCACGCGUCUGAUUAGCUAGUUGGUGAGGUAAUGGCUCACCAAGGCGACGAUCAGUAGCUGGUCUGAGAGGAUGAGCAGCCACACUGGGACUGAGACACGGCCCAGACUCCUACGGGAGGCAGCAGUGGGGAAUAUUGGACAACGGGGGCAACCCUGUUCCAGCCAUGCCGCGUGAGUGAUGAAGGCCUUAGGGUUGUAAAGCUCUUUUACCCGGGACGAUAAUGACUGUACCGGGAGAAUAAGCCCCGGCUAACUUCGUGCCAGCCGCCGCCGUAA
RNAcentral lists this ribosomal RNA (447 nucleotides) under uncultured bacterium. RNAcentral's name for it is "partial 16S ribosomal RNA". It matches the Rfam family "Bacterial small subunit ribosomal RNA", at positions 29 to 523 of the family's 1533-position model. The record is from RNAcentral.